Molecule: long non-coding RNA, 788 nt
Organism: Centropristis striata (black sea bass)
Lineage: Eukaryota; Metazoa; Chordata; Actinopteri; Perciformes; Serranidae
Exons: 2
Source: RefSeq, a predicted model, not a curated record
UCACUUUCUGACACUCUUUAGUAACACCUGGUGGCAGUGGCAGUAAAAUGCAACAGAGUGUAUUCUAUCUUGUGUUUCCUCCCCAAUAAAUGUAAGUUUAAAAGGUUUUGACCUGCACCCUACAUCCUGCACUGACGCCUCCACCUGCACAACCUAACUCAGGCUGUCCCCCUGUCAAUGAUCCCCCUUGAAGCCUGAACAGUUGGAGGGCUCACUUUUCUACCAGCAGAGGAAGCUUUUUGCUGCCAUUCAUUCUUGGAGUGUAAAAAAAACAAAACAACUUCCAUAAAGCGAGGUAAUCCAUCCCAGUAACCACACAGCCUCAGUGAUAUUUGUCAAACCCCCUGUUUUAUUUCACUAUGAGUGCUGCACUAAAUUAAGCUCUGCUUACAGUCUGUCAUCUGACAACUCCAGUCCAACUCCCUGGUAGGAAAUAACGCCUAGUAAAAAAACAAAAAAACACCCCAAUGGUAAACUUUGCCGCAUCUAAGUCCGUCUUUGUAUUCAUCAAAAUCAAAUAUAAGUACAUAUUGGAAAAAAGAAUACAAACAAUAAGCAGUGAAAAUGACUGCAGGAAGUGUGGUGAGGUUUAUAUGGACUACAAUCUGAAAUAAAAUAAAAUGGAAGAUUCAGUCACAUAAGACCAAUGCCAAAAAUUUAAGUUUUGCACCUUAGAUAUAGUGAGCAGCUCCCUUUUUUUGUUUCAAAACACACCAGCCAUGUCCAAUAAGCUUCACCUGGUAAAUAUCUCCUUUUUAGGAAUAAAUCAACUUUAUUACAGCUUUGGU